GAAUUGGCGGCAGCCUACACAUGCAAGUCGAGCGGUAGCACAGAGAGCUUGCUCUCGGGUGACGAGCGGCGGACGGGUGAGUAAUGUCUGGGAAACUGCCUGAUGGAGGGGGAUAACUACUGGAAACGGUAGCUAAUACCGCAUAAUGUCGCAAGACCAAAGAGGGGGACCUUCGGGCCUCUUGCCAUCAGAUGUGCCCAGAUGGGAUUAGCUAGUAGGUGGGGUAACGGCUCACCUAGGCGACGAUCCCUAGCUGGUCUGAGAGGAUGACCAGCCACACUGGAACUGAGACACGGUCCAGACUCCUACGGGAGGCAGCAGUGGGGAAUAUUGCACAAUGGGCGCAAGCCUGAUGCAGCCAUGCCGCGUGUAUGAAGAAGGCCUUCGGGUUGUAAAGUACUUUCAGCGGGGAGGAAGGUGUUGAGGUUAAUAACCUCAGCAAUUGACGUUACCCGCAGAAGAAGCACCGGCUAACUCCGUGCCAGCAGCCGCGGUAAUACGGAGGGUGCAAGCGUUAAUCGGAAUUACUGGGCGUAAAGCGCACGCAGGCGGUCUGUCAAGUCGGAUGUGAAAUCCCCGGGCUCAACCUGGGAACUGCAUUCGAAACUGGCAGGCUAGAGUCUUGUAGAGGGGGGUAGAAUUCCAGGUGUAGCGGUGAAAUGCGUAGAGAUCUGGAGGAAUACCGGUGGCGAAGGCGGCCCCCUGGACAAAGACUGACGCUCAGGUGCGAAAGCGUGGGGAGCAAACAGGAUUAGAUACCCUGGUAGUCCACGCCGUAAACGAUGUCGACUUGGAGGUUGUGCCCUUGAGGCGUGGCUUCCGGAGCUAACGCGUUAAGUCGACCGCCUGGGGAGUACGGCCGCAAGGUUAAAACUCAAAUGAAUUGACGGGGGCCCGCACAAGCGGUGGAGCAUGUGGUUUAAUUCGAUGCAACGCGAAGAACCUUACCUACUCUUGACAUCCAGAGAACUUUCCAGAGAUGGAUUGGUGCCUUCGGGAACUCUGAGACAGGUGCUGCAUGGCUGUCGUCAGCUCGUGUUGUGAAAUGUUGGGUUAAGUCCCGCAACGAGCGCAACCCUUAUCCUUUGUUGCCAGCGGUCCGGCCGGGAACUCAAAGGAGACUGCCAGUGAUAAACUGGAGGAAGGUGGGGAUGACGUCAAGUCAUCAUGGCCCUUACGAGUAGGGCUACACACGUGCUACAAUGGCGCAUACAAAGAGAAGCGACCUCGCGAGAGCAAGCGGACCUCAUAAAGUGCGUCGUAGUCCGGAUUGGAGUCUGCAACUCGACUCCAUGAAGUCGGAAUCGCUAGUAAUCGUAGAUCAGAAUGCUACGGUGAAUACGUUCCCGGGCCUUGUACACACCGCCCGUCACACCAUGGGAGUGGGUUGCAAAAGAAGUAGGUAGCUUAACCUUCGGGAGGGCGCUACCACCUUUAAUUACUUGG
Molecule: ribosomal RNA, 1446 nt
Filed under: bacterium
Lineage: Bacteria
Description: bacterial SSU rRNA
Rfam family: Bacterial small subunit ribosomal RNA
Source: RNAcentral